CCACAUGAAUUUAUCAUGGCGAGUCCGCGCUAGGGCUUGUGCACAGACUAGGAAGGACGUGCGGUGGCAGAUACACCCUAUGAAACGACACAGGAGCCGCUCUCUGGUGCAAGCCCCAGUCCCAUAUGCUGGAGGCAGACACAGCACUUCUGUGCUAGAGGUAAACAGUCAGCCCUUAGCCCCAGGCCGCAGCUCUCUUGUGCAGCAGAUGGCAGCCAGCUCUAUAGCUGGUCCCAUGGGAGCGACAUCCGAUAACCUUGUGAAUUAAAACACCCGAGAUGAGACUGUACUAAGCCUAGAUGAUGUCAUAUGCCUCCGGACUCUAUUACUUCGGAGCGGUUACUGCUGAUAGUACAAGUGAGACUCCAACAUUUCGUCUCAUUACAUCAGUGUGCAGCACGCUAAGUGAUGAGGUCAUUCUUCCCCAAGCGCUGACCUGAUCCCAGAUUACUGCAGCCUUCAGCAUCUGGCAGAGUGAAUUAACACUGCACUGUAAGCCAUUCCACUUUUAUAACGCUGUAAAAACCGUCAGGUGGUCAGACAAGGUCUUAUUCUACUCGUUAGCACUGAGGAAAUGUCCUUUCUUCAAGGAGAAAUGUCAUCACUCCAUAGAUCCAUGCUGGCUUGUGUAAUAAUAACACGGUGCAAUGUGCU
Pseudophryne corroboree (corroboree frog) is the source of this 654-nucleotide long non-coding RNA. RefSeq lists it as uncharacterized. Lineage: Eukaryota; Metazoa; Chordata; Amphibia; Anura; Myobatrachidae. The transcript has 3 exons. The record is from RefSeq and is a predicted model, not a curated record.